ACCUGCACUUCGUAGAAAAGCGAACUUGUAUACAUUGAUACAAAUAUGUAAUUUAAAGCUCUCUCUCUCUCAAUCUCUUUUUCGCUCGCUGUGACUGUUUAACUUUUUCCGAGUUUUUCUUGCAUUAUUCGGUAGAUUUCAGCGGCUACUGGUAGUAAUCAUCCGAAACUCUCGGUAAACAAAUUAAAACAAAUUUUGAAAUUAAAAUUUGUUUCUAAUACACACACAUAUAUACAUACAAAGCAGGGGUGCCUUUAAUGCCAAAAAGGUCAGUUGAUAAGCCUGCUGUCGGUAGUCAGCUGCGCUUAGAACGAAUUCUCAAUGCUUUGAAUCUAUAAAUUAACUGUAGUUUAGCACAACUGCUUCAGUUUGAGUUUUAAACUUGACAAGCAAACAGAAAAUAUAUACAAAUUCAUCAUGAAAGUGCUAUUCUUCCUCGCUCUCUUUGUUGCCGCAAUUUGCGCCGUUAUGGGUCAAAGCUGCCCGGUCAACUUCAAGUGGGAUGCUGGUAAUAAACUUUGCCUCGCUGAGCGCCCCAUUCAUGGCGAAUGUCCUGCCGGCUCGCAAUACAAUUUGAAUUACAACAAGUGCGUUUAUGGAGCUCGCGGUUAAAUGAUUUUAGUUUAUGGCCUCGCUUUGUUCUUUGUCGACACAUGUUAUGAAUAAGAAUAAAAAAAAUAUGAAAAGCUGAAA
This is a non-coding RNA of Bactrocera oleae (olive fruit fly), 693 nucleotides long. Lineage: Eukaryota; Metazoa; Arthropoda; Insecta; Diptera; Tephritidae. The record is from RefSeq and is a predicted model, not a curated record.